Long non-coding RNA from Bos taurus (domestic cattle), 1627 nucleotides. NCBI's taxonomy places the organism in Eukaryota, Metazoa, Chordata, Mammalia, Artiodactyla, Bovidae. The record is from Ensembl.
CUCUUUUAUCCACAGUCCUAUCUGUGAGGUAGGUAUUUACUUCGUUCUCAUUUUCCAGAUGAGGAAAUUGAGGCCCUGAAAGAUUAAGUUACACGUUAUACACAUUGGGGCAGAGAAGGUGGGAAAGAACCUGAACAGGGUGGGAAAUAAAAACCUGAAUUUUAUUUGGGUGGAUGUAGGCACAUGUGGAGAAGGCAAUGGCACCCCACUCCAGUACUCUUGCCUGGAAAAUCCCAUGGACGGAGGAGCCUGGUAGGCUGCAGUCCAUGGGGUCGCUAGGAGUGGGACACGACUGAGCGACUUCACUUUCACUUUUCACUUUCAUGCACUGGAGAAGGAAAUGGCAACCCACUCCAGUGUUCUUGCCUGGAGAAUCCCAGGGACAGGGGAGCCUGGUGGGCUGCCAUCUAUGGGGUCACACAGAGUCGGGCACGACUGAAGUGACUUGGCAUAGCAUAGCAUAGGCACAUGUACUUUUCUUUUUUCUUUUGUCUUAGACACCAGGCAUUUCAGUUAAUCAUCAUAUCUGGAGGUAACACCGCUGAUGCACUCACUGAAAGUUGUUUACAAUAAUCAAGAUGAAUUUAUUAUCUUUAGACAUUGCUAUGUUUUGAUUGGGCCUCAGUAUGGUCUAUGGAAGCAGGCUUGAGGAGAGGGGUUCAUUUUGUUUGUAGUUAAAGAUUCUGUCUGUCCUAAGGAUGGAAUCUGAUCUUCCUAAUUUCAUUAUAUUCUUCAAAACAGUUGGAGCUGAUUUUGAGUACUCGUUCCAAACUUUUGGAUAGUUUCUUUGGAAUAUAGCCCAAGAUUUAACAUUUCAUCUGAAUUUAAAAGAUUGUUCAUUUUUCUUUUUAAGGGGAAAGAAAAAUCGGAGCAAUUGGGAAUUCUGGUUUCAUCUCAUGGGUAGAAAAAUGAGCCAUUUACCUCAAGAAAAGUGAAACUUCUGAAUCCCGCUCUUCCAUAAUGAGAACUAGACGGUUUUCACUUGACAUCUACUUUGUGGUAGUGGGGAACCCCCUCUCCAGAGGUUUUUGAGAAGGAUUACUAAAAAGGGUUUUCUAGAUUCUGGGGAAAGAAGUUCAAGAGAGUCCAGCAACACUGUCAUUAGAAAAAUGGUCUUCAUCCAGUGCUAGUCUUAGAAUCCUGAAGCUUCAUUUUCAGCAGUUUGAAAGGCAGCAAAGUAGGAGAGGCUGUACAGGGGAGGAGAAACACUGAGGAGAGAUGUAGUACAGAGACCUUGAAGUCAGUGUGUUAAGACAAGAAAGAAGCAGAGACCUGCAUUCACUGAAUGAAAACCAAAGAAUGUGCAGUGUCUCAGGCUGACUGGUUCCCUGAUGUGUUACCUGCUUCUGCCACUGAUUGAAACUGCAGAACUUCUCAUUCGUCCCCAAGACUUCCAGUAGGGAAUCAGCUCUAAAAGAAACCAGACCAACGUUUGCCAGCCCCUGCAUUCUGCUACCUCUAUGUGAGGAAUGGAUAGAAUACGUUCAGGCCAUCAUCAUGCAAAGCUCCAGUAGCAGUGACGCCUACACGGAAGACUUGGAACUGCAAACAGAGGCCGGGGUCACCUCAGUGACAUCUGACGCUGUCCAACCAGAAGUUCGAUUUUUGUUUGGGGCGGGGGGUUGGG